This is a non-coding RNA of Drosophila ananassae, 83 nucleotides long. NCBI's taxonomy places the organism in Eukaryota, Metazoa, Arthropoda, Insecta, Diptera, Drosophilidae. The record is from Rfam.
UUGUCUUUAUGAUGAACAACCUUUUAAAAACAGUUAUCCCUGUCAUAAAAGAACAAUUGAUGAUGCAGUUUGCUGACAUUUAC